This 155-nucleotide small nuclear RNA is filed under the name Fukomys damarensis (Damara mole-rat). RNAcentral's name for it is "U2 spliceosomal RNA". It matches the Rfam family "U2 spliceosomal RNA". From Rfam's summary of the family: U2 is a small nuclear RNA (snRNA) component of the spliceosome (involved in pre-mRNA splicing). The record is from Rfam by way of RNAcentral. Lineage: Eukaryota; Metazoa; Chordata; Mammalia; Rodentia; Bathyergidae.
AUCGCUUCUCGGCCUUUUGGCUAAGAUCAAGUGUAAAAGUAUAUGGCAGCAAAGAUCGCCUCUUUAAUAAAUGGUGCUGGUAAAAGUGGAUAUCUACUUGUAGAUCCUUACCCAUCACAUUGUGCAUAAAUCAAUUCAAAAUGGAUUGAAGACCU